AACUUCCUGGCUUAUUUCUCCUUAAGUUGGAGUAAUUCAGCUCUAGCCCUACUCUGACUUAAUCGUUCUAUUAUUAAAACAAUAAUGUAUUUGUUAUGACAUGAAAAACAGUUUAUAGAGAGCAGUUCAAAACGCUCCCAGUUCCCAGAAAGACAAUUACUGGAAUACAAGAAAAUAUUUCAGUUUAUUAAACUGUAUUUUUUAAAAAAGGAUUUUUACAUGUAAGAGAUCUAUCUUACAUAGUUUCUUUACCUGUCUAUUUCUUUUUCUUUUUCUUUUUUUCAGAUCACCACAGUAUCAGGAAAUGAGUUCCUUCUACAGUCAGAUGUUGACUUCAUCAUAUUGGAUUGGUUCCACGCUAUCAAAAAUGCAAUUGACAGAUUGCCAAAGGAUUCAAGUUGUCCAUCAAGAAACCUGGAAUUAUUCAAAAUCCAAAGAUCCUCUAGCACUGAAUUGCUAAGUCACUACGACAGUGAUAUAAAAGAACAGAAACCAGAGCACAGAAAAUCUUUAAUGUUCAGACUGCAUCACAGUGCUUCCGAUACAAGCGACAAAAAUCGAGUUAAAAGCAGAUUAAAGAAGUUUAUUACCCGAAGACCUUCCCUGAAAACUCUGCAAGAA
Molecule: small RNA, 621 nt
Filed under: Pongo abelii (Sumatran orangutan)
Lineage: Eukaryota; Metazoa; Chordata; Mammalia; Primates; Hominidae
Description: retained intron
Source: RNAcentral